CACGCACCGAGUCGCCCCCAUCCCCCCGCCUCUCUGACGGUGCGUUGGGAGCGGAAAAUGGCCCCCCGUGCCUCCGAGCGCGGCCGGCCCAAAUCGAGGCCCCCGGAGGCCGACGUCACGAUCUGUGGUGGUUGUAAAAGACAUGCCCUAGAAACCGGAUCCCGUGCAUGCCGCGCCGCACCCAGGGAGGCCACAGCGACCCCCAACGGUCCGUCCUGGACGGCACUCACUCU
RNAcentral lists this ribosomal RNA (233 nucleotides) under Corydalis wilsonii. The record is from RNAcentral. Lineage: Eukaryota; Viridiplantae; Streptophyta; Magnoliopsida; Ranunculales; Papaveraceae.